UGAAUAAGGCAGUACUCUAGUUCCU
Molecule: non-coding RNA, 25 nt
Filed under: Mus musculus (house mouse)
Lineage: Eukaryota; Metazoa; Chordata; Mammalia; Rodentia; Muridae
Source: RNAcentral